GAUGAACGCUGGCGGCGUGCCUAAUACAUGCAAGUCGAGCGAACAGACGAGGAGCUUGCUCCUCGGACGUUAGCGGCGGACGGGUGAGUAACACGUGGAUAACCUACCUAUAAGACUGGGAUAACUUCGGAAAACCGGAGCUAAUACCGGAUAAUAUAUUGAACCGCAUGGUUCAAUAGUGAAAGACGGUUUUGCUGUCACUUAUAGAUGGAUCCCGGCCGCAUGAGAUAGUUGGGAAGUUAACGGCUUACGAAGGCAACGAUGCGUAGCCGACCUCAGAGGCUGGUCGGCCACCCUGGAACGGGGACAGGGUCCAUAGUCCUACGGGAGGCAGCAGUCGGGAAUGUGCCGCAAUGGGCGGAAGCCUGACGGAGCAACGGCGCGCGUGUGAUGAAGGUCUUCGGAUCGUAAAACUCUGUUACUAGGGAAGAACAAAUGUGUAAUUAACUAUGCACGUCUUGACGGUACCUAAUCAGAAAGCCCCGGCUAACUACGUG
This 497-nucleotide ribosomal RNA is filed under the name uncultured bacterium. RNAcentral describes it as "partial 16S ribosomal RNA". It matches the Rfam family "Bacterial small subunit ribosomal RNA", at positions 28 to 507 of the family's 1533-position model. The record is from RNAcentral.